This 215-nucleotide long non-coding RNA is filed under the name Malus domestica (apple). RNAcentral describes it as "long non-coding RNA (MDOM_LNC011886)". The record is from RNAcentral. Lineage: Eukaryota; Viridiplantae; Streptophyta; Magnoliopsida; Rosales; Rosaceae.
UCCAUGUUAACAUUAGCCAAAAUCCUCAUCCGCUUGCGUUGUCGCUUAAAAGCCUUUGGACGAACACUUUCUUGAGUUCCGGUUUGAUUGCCCUGAACACUCCCACAUUUUUUUGGUUUAUCCAAAAUAAGAGACAAUGCAUCAAUUUGAUCCAUAGGAGAGAGACCCAUUGCUUCAAGUUCAUUAGCUAUGUCAGUAUGAUCUGCAGUACCUUG